RNAcentral lists this ribosomal RNA (236 nucleotides) under uncultured bacterium. Its description in RNAcentral is "partial 16S ribosomal RNA". It matches the Rfam family "Bacterial small subunit ribosomal RNA", at positions 333 to 583 of the family's 1533-position model. The record is from RNAcentral.
UCCUGCCUACGGGGGGCAGCAGUGGGGAAUAUUGGGCAAUGGGCGCAAGCCUGACCCAGCAACGCCGCGUGAAGGAAGAAGGCUUUCGGGUUGUAAACUUCUUUUCUCAGGGACGAAGCAAGUGACGGUACCUGAGGAAUAAGCCACGGCUAACUACGUGCCAGCAGCCGCGGUAAUACGUAGGCGGCAAGCGUUAUCCUGAUUUACUGGGUGUAAAGGGCGUGUAGGCGGGGCCG